Molecule: long non-coding RNA, 786 nt
Organism: Diceros bicornis minor
Lineage: Eukaryota; Metazoa; Chordata; Mammalia; Perissodactyla; Rhinocerotidae
Exons: 5
Source: RefSeq, a predicted model, not a curated record
GGAAGGGGAGGUGAGCACUAACCCACAUGCCUUCCCCACUGGGCUGCUUCCUUGGGCUGGUUAUCUCUGUGGAAGGAGUGACCUUUUCUACAAGGCAAAGGUGACUAAAAGGAACAUGGGGGCCUCAACUUCUCCUUUAGAUGAUGACAGCUUUUCUCUUUGAAGCCGUUACCCAAAGUUCAAGAAGCUGAGACUCGGGUCACAGAACAAAUAAGUUAAGUGAACUAUGUGACUGGUGCUGGCCAGUGAGCAAGGAGCCAAAGCAUGGCAGGGAACACAGAAGAUGUGUGGAAUAUGGCUCUGUUCACAAGGAACUUACAAUCUACGUGAAGAGACAAGGUGGAAAAAAGUCUGGGAGCUCAUUUUUUAAGUGACUUGCUUUUCAACAGGAUCCCUCAAAGUGACAAGAAAAUAUGGAAACCAACACUGUUUUGAGUUGUUUUCUUGUGAAAUGGAUUAGCAAGCAUUCCUUCAUGAAAGCUCCCAGUGUGUGCUCUGGUGUUCAUAGCUGUGUGUGCAGAAAACUCCAGGAGUUCAAGAGCAUGGAUAAAUAUCAAAAACAUAGUGGUGAUCCUGAGAAAAAAGAACAAAGCUGGAGGCAUCACAAUCCCUGACUUCAAAACAUUCUACAAAGCAAUAGUAAUCAAAACAGCAUGGUACUGGUACAACAACAGACACACAGACCAACGCAACAGAAGUGAAAGCCCAGAAAUAAAACCUCACAUCUACAGGCAGCUAAUCUUCAACAAAGGAGCAAAGAACAUACAAUGGAGAAAGGAAAGUCUC